Molecule: ribosomal RNA, 253 nt
Filed under: uncultured bacterium
Lineage: Bacteria
Description: partial 16S ribosomal RNA
Rfam family: Bacterial small subunit ribosomal RNA
Source: RNAcentral
UACGUAGGGUCCGAGCGUUGUCCGGAAUUAUUGGGCGUAAAGAGCUCGUAGGCGGCUUGUCGCGUCUGCUGUGAAAACCUAAGGCUCAACCUUGGGCUUGCAGUGGGUACGGGCAGACUAGAGUGCGGUAGGGGUGACUGGAAUUCCUGGUGUAGCGGUGGGAUGCGCAGAUAUCAGGAGGAACACCGGUGGCGAAGGCGGGUCUCUGGGCAGUAACUGACGCUGAGGAGCGAAAGCGUGGGGAGCGAACAGG